RNAcentral lists this unclassified non-coding RNA (20 nucleotides) under synthetic construct. RNAcentral describes it as "RNA from synthetic construct (PDB 7NQ4, chain C)". The record is from RNAcentral.
AGCACGGCUGUAAACCGUGC